RNAcentral lists this long non-coding RNA (1024 nucleotides) under Panax ginseng (ginseng). RNAcentral describes it as "long non-coding RNA (PGIN_LNC009835)". The record is from RNAcentral. Lineage: Eukaryota; Viridiplantae; Streptophyta; Magnoliopsida; Apiales; Araliaceae.
UUAAUUAGCAUAGUAAUUAAUGAGUCCUUAAUCAAUUGUCCAUAAUCUUUUUAUAACACACUUGACCAAGGCAAAAAAAACUAAAGAGACGUUGGAAAUUUUCACCUUUCAAUUCAAUACACACAAUAAAAACAAAAGUGAAACACAAAUUCAUUCAUGAACAAAUGUGGAUAAAUAAUAUCCCUUCAUUAAAAAUACAAACAAGAGAGAAAAUUAUACUCGUCAAGGAUAUGUUCGAGUACGAGUGUUUGUAACAGUAGCGUUUAUUACAUUUGACAAUCAUAUGAAAAAGGAUACGGUGUGUUUGAGUUUCAAACAAUAUAUUUUCAAAUGAUGUGGUGUAUUAUUUGAGCUUCAAACACUGCAUUUGUGAGUUAAAUAAAAUGCGCUUAGAAUAUUUGUGUUUGAUUGCAUCUUAACAGUUUAUAUCUUAAUACAUCUUAACAACCCACAUCUUUAUAUUAAGAGAUACUCUGAAUAGUUUAGACUCAUAUUUGUAUCUUAACUAUUUAAAGAAUCUCUUAAUACAAAGAUGUGAGCUGUUUAGAUAUAUUAAGAGGUUGACUAUUAAGAUACAAUUAAACACUUAAGUUGCAUGUAGACGAACAAGAUCCUCAAUUGCCUAUAAAAUUUAAGAUUCACAAAAAAGAAAUACGAGAAUUAGCAGGAAAAUAAGAAACUGGAAUCGGAGCUCCUCUAGUCGAAUUUGAUUUGCUUUUCUGUUUAGAAGAUGAAUUUGAAGGCUCCUCCUCCUUAACCUUUGUUUUGUCGGAUACUCGUGCCGAUGAAGAUUGCAUAAAGCAACUAAAUAUGGCUGAUAAGAACAAAACCAUUGUUAAUAUAUUGUUCUGAUUAAGCUAAUUAAGCUAGUGAAAGAUGAUGAUAAGCUGAAUUAAGGAGAAAUUAAAUUGAAUAGCUAAUAAAUGGUGUAGGAGUAAAGAUGAAUUAUAUUUAUAGGAUAGUCUGGAUGGAAGAAUUUUUCAGCAGCUUGCUCAGGAAGGUAAACAAGUUAAUUAAUUAUAAG